UGGGGAAUAUUGCACAAUGGGCGAAAGCCUGAUGCAGCAACGCCGCGUGAGCGAUGAAGGCCUUAGGGUCGUAAAGCUCUGUCCUCAAGGAAGAUAAUGACGGUACUUGAGGAGGAAGCUCCGGCUAACUACAUACAAGCAGCCGCGGUAAUACGUAGGGGGCUAGCGUUAUCCGGAAUUACUGGGCGUAAAUGGUGCGUAGGUGGUUUCUUAAGUCAGAGGUGAAAGGCUACGGCUCAACCGUAGUAAGCCUUUGAAACUGGGAAACUUGAGUGCAGGAGAUGAGAUGGGAAUUCCUAGUGUAUCGGUGAAAUGAGUAGAUAUUAGGAGGAACACCAGUUGCGAAGGCGGCUCUCUGGACUGUAAGGGACACUGAGGCACUAAAGCGUGGGGAGCAAACA
Molecule: ribosomal RNA, 401 nt
Filed under: uncultured prokaryote
Description: bacterial SSU rRNA
Rfam family: Bacterial small subunit ribosomal RNA
Source: RNAcentral